GACGAACGCUGGCGGCGUGCUUAACACAUGCAAGUCGAACGGAAAGGCCCUGCUUUUGUGGGGUGCUCGAGUGGCGAACGGGUGAGUAACACGUGAGUAACCUGCCCUUGACUUUGGGAUAACUUCAGGAAACUGGGGCUAAUACCGGAUAGGAGCUCCUGCUGCAUGGUGGGGGUUGGAAAGUUUCGGCGGUUGGGGAUGGACUCGCGGCUUAUCAGCUUGUUGGUGGGGUAGUUGCUUACCAAGGCUUUGACGGGUAGCCGGCCUGAGAGGGUGACCGGCCACAUUGGGACUGAGAUACGGCGCAGACUCCUACGGGAGGCAGCAGUGGGGAAUAUUGCACAAUGGGCGGAAGCCUGAUGCAGCAACGCCGCGUGCGGGAUGACGGCCUUCGGGUUGUAAACCGCUUUCGCCUGUGACGAAGCGUGAGUGACGGUAAUGGGUAAAGAAGCACCGGCUAACUACGUG
RNAcentral lists this ribosomal RNA (468 nucleotides) under uncultured bacterium. RNAcentral describes it as "partial 16S ribosomal RNA". It matches the Rfam family "Bacterial small subunit ribosomal RNA", at positions 28 to 507 of the family's 1533-position model. The record is from RNAcentral.